AAGAUUUUAAGUUAAGUAAACUGAAGACUUUCAAGGUCUUUUAUGAAUUGUAUAGUUUAAAUCUUG
RNAcentral lists this transfer RNA (66 nucleotides) under Eumandya parva. Its description in RNAcentral is "tRNA-Trp". Lineage: Eukaryota; Metazoa; Mollusca; Cephalopoda; Sepiida; Sepiolidae. The record is from RNAcentral.